Pyrus x bretschneideri (Chinese white pear) is the source of this 2672-nucleotide long non-coding RNA. RefSeq lists it as uncharacterized. Lineage: Eukaryota; Viridiplantae; Streptophyta; Magnoliopsida; Rosales; Rosaceae. The record is from RefSeq and is a predicted model, not a curated record. The transcript has 2 exons.
GUUUCGAGUUGGAACAGGUGGGUUUUAUGAGCCUUCGGCUUUUGCUUCCCUUUAGGCAGCAGGUGAUGUGGGCGAGAUGCCAAAAGCUAGCUAAUAAGUCAAAAUAGAAGAAAGGAGAUAAAUGCAUCAAACUGAUUUUUGUCUAUAAAAGCAUCUUUUGAGAGAGAGAGAGAGAGAGAGAGAGAGAGAGCUGCAGUUGGGUUUUUCAGCAGUUACCGAGGAAGAAAGAGGCAAAAGUCCGGUUCAAUUUCAGGUUUUGAUGGAGAAAGUUGUGAAUUCAUAACGAAGGUAUUGACGCGCCUCAAUUUGAACGCGUGGCUAAUAUCGGAGACUUAACCAUGCGAUUUUGAUUGAGCCGCGUCAAUAUCUCCUCUUGCAUCUCUCUCCAUCUAUCCUUUAAACUCAACAUCAUAUAUUCAUGGUAUGUUGUUGAUCUAAAUUAUCCCCCUUCCUUCUUUGAUUCCUAGUCCCAUCUGUUUCUCUCUGGGUUUUAUUAGAAACCUUUGAAUGAUUUAAGCGCUAAUUUUUCUUUUAAUUGUUGCUAUAUAUAUUCUUUAAUUUGCAUGCUUCCUAUUAGAUCCAUAUACUUUCUCUGUAUAUGCAAUCAAUUAGGCAAAGAAAAUUGAAAUGAUUAUAAUAUACAAGCAUAUAUAAUCAGCUCAUCCCCGCUCGCUAGGGUUUGCUCCUGAUUGAUACCAUAUGUGAGAGAGAGAGAGAGAGAGAGAGAGAGAGAGAGAGAUAAUUAUUUGGAAAUUGUAAGGGUGAUGAAAAAAGCAUGAUGAUGUAGGUGAUUGUCAUUCAAGAGAGUAGGUAGAAAAUUAAGGGCAGAUGCUCAGGUCGGGCCAUGCCCUUCUCUCCCACCAUAUCAUUGAAUAUUAAAUUAUCUUACGAAAUUUUGAAAGAUCCAUCCAAUCUUUUCAAAACUCAAAAACAAAUAAAAGAAGAAAGCACGUUCAUAGUUUAAUGCAAAUGAGAUUUUCAAAUUAGUAGCUUAUGCAUAUGUUAAAUAAAAUAAAUCUGGCAGGAACCUUUUAAUUAUUAAAAAAUACAAUGUCAUGGUCUAAAUGUUCCAAUUGUGUUGUGAGUACCGCAUUACACUAAAGCAGGAGCAAUGCUUCAAAAUUGUAUAAUUUUUUAAGAUCGUGUAAUCAACUCAUCAUACAAGCAUGAUCACUGUGCUUAGUUUUGUAUAUUAUCCAACACACACACGCAUAUAUGUAACCAAUGUUUCAAAAUUGUAGAAAUAUUUAAUUUGGGAAAAUUGACUAGUUAGCCACUUGGCUUAUUUUUAAGCAUGUUUGUUAGAGCUUUUGAUAUUUUGUCUUAAUGUUUUCUAGUGAGAUAAGGAUUAUGGUCCUUUCAUAUUUUCUGUUUUGAUUAGAUUGCUUUCCUGUUUAUUUCUGAAUUAUGGGCAUGCUCACUUAAAAGAAAUGAGACAAGGAAGGAACGGGAGAACUUAAAAAUAGGGGAAGUAAGAAAAGAGAAUCAAAUCAACUAUGAGUAAUUAAUUUUUAGGUAUUUGAUUACGGAUUUUAAGAGAAAACAGACAUUUUUUUUCUGAUUCACAUGUGUUAGUAAACACAUGAAAUUAAAGUUAAGAAGUUAAAUGAUUCUCAUACUUAUUUUUCAGUAAACGCUAGAAACUAAAGAACCAAAAUAGAUUCAAUUCCUAUCCUUGUAACUAAAAAUGCACGAGGUGUUUAUAUCAUGUUGUAACUCAAUAGAAUUAAGUUUGAUAAGAGUACUCUUGUCACGUUAUGUAGUCGAUUUGGAAUAACAUUAUGAGUUCGUAAUCAGUUUGUUCUUUUUCUAAUUCUUUGAUUUUCUGUUGCUUUCUGUAGCAUGUUCAAACCUAUUGUGCAGGACCAGCAUGUAUAAAGUGUACCAAACUUUGGCUGUUACCAUUGACUCGAACACAUAAGAUAGAACAGUUCACACUUGUAUAUACCUUGAGUUCUAAACCAAUUUCGUUUUCACUAGAGGAAUAUAACUGAUCUAAAUUUCAAAUGAAAUUACAGAAAAAUCUAAAAACGUUAAAAGUGAAAGAGACUUGGGGAGAGAGAAAACAGACAUAUGCAUGCAGGUCUGUCAAUGAAAGAAUUGUUUUAAUUCGAUAAGGUCCAAAGGCUUCAGGAAUCUCAGAUCCAGAACCUAGCUGGUGAAGUGGGAACCAUAACUGCAAUAAGGUUUCUCCAACGGCUGGUCUAAGGAAUCAAUGUGUGCAGUGUUGUAUACUCGUGGAGAUAUAUCAUCGAAGGAACAAGCAAAUCUCUCACAAAACGUCCAAUCGAGUCGUCAUAUGUGUGGUUUAUGGAAAGAAACUUUCAUGUAUCCGAUCAUAUAUGUCUCCUUGUUUAUAUAACAUUUAUCAAAAAAAAAAAAAAAAAAAAAAGAAAGAGUGUGUUGUGAUUUACUUGUUUGUAUAUGUAUGAUCUUUAUUUGAAGUAAUGAAUGAAAGAAAGAGUGUACAUAUGAGUUUUCUCAAUUUGUUACCAGACAAAUUGGUUGGAAAACCUAACCUUUUUAUUUACUUGUUUAUAAUAUUUUGAGAAAUUAUUGUCUGUUGAGUUUUCGUGCUUUUACUAUGAUCACAUCACAUGUGUACGUGUAAUAAAAUGUGUUGGAGGCUAAUUUCAUGUUUAUGGAAGGACUAAUGUACUUUCGUUGUUUCU